CUGCAGUAAAAAGAUGGCCGU
This 21-nucleotide non-coding RNA is filed under the name Arabidopsis thaliana (thale cress). The record is from RNAcentral. Lineage: Eukaryota; Viridiplantae; Streptophyta; Magnoliopsida; Brassicales; Brassicaceae.